GGGGAUUUAGCUCAGCGGCAUAAGCACCUGCCUUGCAAGCAGGUGGUCGUGAGUUCGAAACCCCAGUUCCGA
RNAcentral lists this transfer RNA (72 nucleotides) under Cavia porcellus (domestic guinea pig). It matches the Rfam family "tRNA". Rfam says of the family: Transfer RNA (tRNA) molecules are approximately 80 nucleotides in length. The record is from Rfam by way of RNAcentral. Lineage: Eukaryota; Metazoa; Chordata; Mammalia; Rodentia; Caviidae.